Molecule: long non-coding RNA, 553 nt
Filed under: Olea europaea subsp. europaea
Lineage: Eukaryota; Viridiplantae; Streptophyta; Magnoliopsida; Lamiales; Oleaceae
Source: RNAcentral
UAAUAAUAACAUGAUAGAUAAGUUUUUGCAAACAUGAUAAGUAAUAAUCCGUACGAUUCUUUCAAGAUAUUAGAAGAAUUCUUUCUAAAUUUACAAAGACAAUAAUUUUACCUUACUUUUGAUCUUAAAUCUGUAUUCUUAAAACCGAGUGACGUUCAGGCUCUGAAUCUGCAAACUGCUCCCUCAAACGGCCUUUUGCCUUAAUGGGAAUUUUGCUAUUUCAGCUUCUUGCCCUCACUGUAUCUUUUCUUAGAAUUAAGAAUAAGGAUUUUAAGUAGAGAAAAUUCUUUUUUUGUUAAAGUAAGAAAGAAAUUAUCUUCUUCAAUCUGUCAAGAAUCUACGGGAUUGGAAGUUUAGAAACUCAUAUUUUUCUGAUAUCAAAAGAUUGAAAUUUUAUUUUUAUAAUAAUUUAUACAAGAUUUCUAUUAUAUACAAGGGGUUUCCAGAAAAAUUGGUUUUAAAGAAAGCUUAAGGAAAGAGAAUGGUUUCUAACUCGAGAUGCUCCAUUCUUUCCCCCAAAUACCUCUAUUUAUACAUGACUCAAACUUGCUAU